This 76-nucleotide transfer RNA is filed under the name Paenibacillus polymyxa. RNAcentral describes it as "tRNA-Ile". It matches the Rfam family "tRNA". From Rfam's summary of the family: Transfer RNA (tRNA) molecules are approximately 80 nucleotides in length. Lineage: Bacteria; Bacillati; Bacillota; Bacilli; Caryophanales; Paenibacillaceae. The record is from RNAcentral. RNAcentral also lists the same sequence under 1 other name.
GCUCCUUUAACUCAGUGGUAAGAGUAGCGGCCUUAUAUGCCGUUGGUCGGUGGUUCGAAUCCAUCAAGGAGUAUCA